GUGGGGAAUAUUGGACAAUGGGCGAAAGCCUGAUCCAGCCAUGCCGCGUGUGUGAAGAAGGUCUUCGGAUUGUAAAGCACUUUAAGUUGGGAGGAAGGGCAGUAAGUUAAUACCUUGCUGUUUUGACGUUACCGACAGAAUAAGCACCGGCUAACUUCGUGCCAGCAGCCGCGGUAAUACGAAGGGUGCAAGCGUUAAUCGGAAUUACUGGGCGUAAAGCGCGCGUAGGUGGUUUUGUAAGUUGGAGGUGAAAUCCCCGGGCUCAACCUGGGAACUGCCUCCAAAACUGCAUGACUAGAGUACGGUAGAGGGUAGUGGAAUUUCCUGUGUAGCGGUGAAAUGCGUAGAUAUAGGGAGGAACACCAGUGGCGAAGGCGACUACCUGGACUGAUACUGACACUGAGGUGCGAAAGCGUGGGGAGCAAACAGGAUUAGAAACCCCGGUAGUCC
RNAcentral lists this ribosomal RNA (450 nucleotides) under uncultured bacterium. RNAcentral's name for it is "bacterial SSU rRNA". It matches the Rfam family "Bacterial small subunit ribosomal RNA", at positions 354 to 796 of the family's 1533-position model. The record is from RNAcentral.